Molecule: ribosomal RNA, 494 nt
Filed under: uncultured bacterium
Lineage: Bacteria
Description: partial 16S ribosomal RNA
Rfam family: Bacterial small subunit ribosomal RNA
Source: RNAcentral
GAACGCUGGCGGCGUGCCUAAUACAUGCAAGUCGAGCGAACAGACGAGAAGCUUGCUCCUCUGACGUUAGCGGCGGACGGGUGAGUAACACGUGGAUAACCUACCUAUAAGACUGGGAUAACUUCGGGAAACCGGAGCUAAUACCGGAUAAUAUAUUGAACCGCAUGGUUCAAUAGUGAAAGACGGUUUUGCUGUCACUUAUAGAUGGAUCCGCGCCGCAUUAGCUAGUUGGUAAGGUAACGGCUUACCAAGGCGACGAUGCGUAGCCGACCUGAGAGGGUGAUCGGCCACACUGGAACUGAGACACGGUCCAGACUCCUACGGGAGGCAGCAGUAGGGAAUCUUCCGCAAUGGGCGAAAGCCUGACGGAGCAACGCCGCGUGAGUGAUGAAGGUCUUCGGAUCGUAAAACUCUGUUAUUAGGGAAGAACAAAUGUGUAAGUAACUAUGCACGUCUUGACGGUACCUAAUCAGAAAGCCACGGCUAACUACGUG